RNAcentral lists this ribosomal RNA (137 nucleotides) under uncultured eukaryote. RNAcentral describes it as "partial 18S ribosomal RNA". It matches the Rfam family "Eukaryotic small subunit ribosomal RNA", at positions 1299 to 1458 of the family's 1831-position model. The record is from RNAcentral.
UGGUGGGGUGACUUGUCUGGUUAAUUUCGAUAACGAACGAGAUCCGAGCUGUUUAGUUGCGAUUGCUAGUAUACUGCUGGUAAAUUGUUUUUAAAUGGACCAUCAGAUCAAUCUGAAGGAAGUGACGGGCUAAAUCA